GACGAACGCUGGCGGCGUGCUUAACACAUGCAAGUCGAACGGAAAGGCCCUGCUUUUGUGGGGUGCUCGAGUGGCGAACGGGUGAGUAACACGUGAGUAACCUGCCCUUGACUUUGGGAUAACUUCAGGAAACUGGGGCUAAUACCGGAUAUGAGCUCCUGCUGCAUGGUGGGGGUUGGAAAGUUUCGGCGGUUGGGGAUGGACUCGCGGCUUAUCAGCUUGUUGGUGGGGUAGUGGCUUACCAAGGCUUUGACGGGUAGCCGGCCUGAGAGGGUGACCGGCCACAUUGGGACUGAGAUACGGCCCAGACUCCUACGGGAGGCAGCAGUGGGGAAUAUUGCACAAUGGGCGGAAGCCUGAUGCAGCAACGCCGCGUGCGGGAUGACGGCCUUCGGGUUGUAAACCGCUUUCGCCUGUGACGAAGAGUGAGUGACGGUAAUGGGUAAAGAAGCAACGGCUAACUACGUG
Molecule: ribosomal RNA, 468 nt
Filed under: uncultured bacterium
Lineage: Bacteria
Description: partial 16S ribosomal RNA
Rfam family: Bacterial small subunit ribosomal RNA
Source: RNAcentral